Molecule: ribosomal RNA, 255 nt
Filed under: uncultured bacterium
Lineage: Bacteria
Description: partial 16S ribosomal RNA
Rfam family: Bacterial small subunit ribosomal RNA
Source: RNAcentral
CAAACUAAAGAUGGCGACCGGCGCACGGGUGAGUAACACGUAUCCAACCUGCCGAUAACUCGGGGAUAGCCUUUCGAAAGAAAGAUUAAUAUCCGAUGGUAUAUUAAAACCGCAUGGUUUUACUAUUAAAGAAUUUCGGUUAUCGAUGGGGAUGCGUUCCAUUAGGCAGUUGGUGAGGUAACGGCUCACCAAACCUUCGAUGGAUAGGGGUUCUGAGAGGAAGGUCCCCCACAUUGGAACUGAGACACGGUCCAA